Molecule: ribosomal RNA, 403 nt
Filed under: uncultured Propionicimonas sp.
Lineage: Bacteria; Bacillati; Actinomycetota; Actinomycetes; Propionibacteriales; Nocardioidaceae
Description: bacterial SSU rRNA
Rfam family: Bacterial small subunit ribosomal RNA
Source: RNAcentral
AAGGCUGAUGGAGCAACGCCGCGUGAGUGAUGAAGGUUUUCGGAUCGUAAAACUCUGUUGUAAGGGAAGAACCACUAUGUCAGGCAAUGGACGUUCCUUGACGGUACCUUAUUAGAAAGCUACGGCUAACUACGUGCCAGCAGCCGCGGUAAUACGUAGGUGGCAAGCGUUGUCCGGAAUUAUUGGGCGUAAAGAGCUUGUAGGCGGUCCGUCACGUCGGAAGUGAAAACUCAGGGCUUAACCCUGAGCCUGCUGUCGAUACGGGCAGACUUGAGGGAUGUAGGGGAGAACGGAAUUCCUGGUGGAGCGGUGGAAUGCGCAGAUAUCAGGAGGAACACCAGUGGCGAAGGCGGUUCUCUGGACAUUUCCUGGCGCUGAGAAGCGAAAGCGUGGGGAGCAAACA